RNAcentral lists this ribosomal RNA (1342 nucleotides) under uncultured organism. RNAcentral describes it as "16S ribosomal RNA". It matches the Rfam family "Bacterial small subunit ribosomal RNA", at positions 93 to 1432 of the family's 1533-position model. The record is from RNAcentral.
UAGUGGCGGACGGGUGAGUAAUGCAUAGGAAUCUGCCGUAUAGAGGGGGAUAACAGUUGGAAACGACUGCUAAUACCGCAUAAUGCCUUUGGGUUAAAGGGUAGCUUUUGCUGUCGCUAUACGAUGAGCCUAUGUUGGAUUAGCUAGUUGGUGGGGUAAGGGCCUACCAAGGCGACGAUCCAUAGCUGUUCUGAGAGGAAGAUCAGCCACACUGGGACUGAGACACGGCCCAGACUCCUACGGGAGGCAGCAGUGGGGAAUAUUGGACAAUGGGGGCAACCCUGAUCCAGCAAUACCAUGUGUGUGAAGAAGGCCUUAGGGUUGUAAAGCACUUUAGUUAGGGAGGAAAGCGAUUUGGUUAAGAGCUGGAUUGUGUGACGUUACCUAAAGAAUAAGCACCGGCUAACUCCGUGCCAGCAGCCGCGGUAAUACGGAGGGUGCGAGCGUUAAUCGGAAUUACUGGGCGUAAAGGGUUCGUAGGUGGUUAGAUAAGUCAGAUGUGAAAGGCCUGGGCUCAACCUGGGAAUUGCAUUUGAUACUGUUUAACUAGAGUUCGGUAGAGGAUUGAGGAAUUUCCGGUGUAGCGGUGAAAUGCGUAGAGAUCGGAAGGAACAUCAAUGGCGAAGGCAACAAUCUGGGCCUGAACUGACACUGAGGGACGAAAGCGUGGGUAGCAAACAGGAUUAGAUACCCUGGUAGUCCAUGCUGUAAACGAUGAGUACUUGCUGUUGGCUCUGGUGUAAAAGAGUUAGUGGCGCAGUUAACGCGAUAAGUACUCCGCCUGGGGACUACGGGCCGCAAGGCUAAACUCAAAGGAAUUGACGGGGACCCGCACAAGCGGUGUAACAUGUGGUUUAUUUCGAUGCAACGCGAAGAGCCUUACCUACCCUUGACAUCCACGGGACGGUUGAGAGAUUGACUGGUGCCUUCGGGAGCCGUGAGACAGGUGCUGCAUGGCUGUCGUCAGCUCGUGUUGUGAAAUGUUGGGUUAAGUCCCGCAACGAGCGCAACCCUUAUUUUUUAGUUGCCAUCGGGUAAAGCUGGUCACUCUAAAGAGACUGCCGCUGAUAAGGCGGAGGAAGGUGGGGAUGAUGUCAAGUCAUCAUGGCCCUUACGGGUAGGGCUACACACGUGCUACAAUGGGCAUUACAAAGGGAUGCGAAACUGCGAAGUCGAGCGAAACUCAGAAAGGUGUUCGUAGUUCGGAUUGAUCUCUGCAACUCGAGAUCAUGAAGUCGGAAUCGCUAGUAAUCGUGGAUCAGCAUGCCACGGUGAAUACGUUCUCGGGUCUUGUACACACCGCCCGUCACACCAUGGGAGUGGGUUGCAAAAGAAGUAGAUA